RNAcentral lists this ribosomal RNA (893 nucleotides) under uncultured Geobacter sp. RNAcentral's name for it is "bacterial SSU rRNA". It matches the Rfam family "Bacterial small subunit ribosomal RNA", at positions 28 to 897 of the family's 1533-position model. The record is from RNAcentral. Lineage: Bacteria; Pseudomonadati; Thermodesulfobacteriota; Desulfuromonadia; Geobacterales; Geobacteraceae.
AACGAACGCUGGCGGCGUGCCUAACACAUGCAAGUCGAACGGAUUUGAGGGGCUUGCUCCUCAAGUUAGUGGCGCACGGGUGAGUAACGCGUAGAUAAUCUGCCUGAUGAUCUGGGAUAACACUUCGAAAGGGGUGCUAAUACCGGAUAAGCCCACGAUGGCUUUGGUCGUUGCGGGAAAAGGGGGGGACCUUCGGGCCUUCUGUCAUCAGAUGAGUCUGCGUACCAUUAGCUAGUUGGUGGUGUAAUGGACCACCAAGGCUACGAUGGUUAGCUGGUCUGAGAGGAUGAUCAGCCACACUGGAACUGAGACACGGUCCAGACUCCUACGGGAGGCAGCAGUGGGGAAUUUUGCGCAAUGGGCGAAAGCCUGACGCAGCAACGCCGCGUGAGUGAUGAAGGCUUUCGGGUCGUAAAGCUCUGUCAAGGGGAAAGAAGUGUAUUAUGGUUAAUACCCAUGAUGCUUGACGGUACCCCUAAAGGAAGCACCGGCUAACUCCGUGCCAGCAGCCGCGGUAAUACGGAGGGUGCGAGCGUUGUUCGGAAUUAUUGGGCGUAAAGCGCGUGUAGGCGGUUUGUUAAGUCUGAUGUGAAAGCCCCGGGCUCAACCUGGGAAGUGCAUUGGAUACUGGCAGACUUGAAUACGGGAGAGGGCAGUGGAAUUCCUGGUGUAGGAGUGAGAUCCGUAGAUAUCAGGAGGAACACCGGUGGCGAAGGCGGCUGCCUGGACCGAUAUUGACGCUGAGACGCGAAAGCGUGGGUAGCAAACAGGAUUAGAUACCCUGGUAGUCCACGCCGUAAACGAUGAGUACUAGGUGUUGCGGGUAUUGACCCCUGCAGUGCCGCAGCUAACGCAUUAAGUACUCCGCCUGGGAAGUACGGUCGCAAGACUAA